GAUCAUGGCUCAGGAUAAACGCUAGCGGCAGGCCUAACACAUGCAAGUCGAGGGGCAGCGGGUGGAGUAUUUCGGUACUCCUGCCGGCGACCGGCGCACGGGUGCGUAACGCGUAUGCAACCUACCUUUAACAGGGGGAUAAUCCGAAGAAAUUUGGUCUAAUACCCCAUAAUAUCAUUUAAGGCAUCUUAGGUGGUUGAAAAUUCCGAUGGUUAGAGAUGGGCAUGCGUUGUAUUAGCUAGUUGGUGAGG
RNAcentral lists this ribosomal RNA (251 nucleotides) under uncultured bacterium. Its description in RNAcentral is "partial 16S ribosomal RNA". It matches the Rfam family "Bacterial small subunit ribosomal RNA", at positions 15 to 257 of the family's 1533-position model. The record is from RNAcentral.